UGGGGUCGAGCCAGAGCCAGGAGGAGCGAAGAAGAAGGAAAAACAGCAAUGUUCACCUGCUGCUGCUGCUGCCAUUAAAAAGCUUCGAGAACACGAAGAACAGACCCUCCAGGACAGUCUUUUUUCAGCAGCUCCAGAACAGUCUUAUUUUCAGCAGCUCAACAGCAGAAGAGAGGUGUCGCAGUUCGCUGCAGUUUUCUGUUGUCGUUCUUUUCUGGACGUGUUUUUGUAUUCGGACCUCGAACUCCCAACUGUAGCACAGUAAUCUGGUGAGGACACACGUCAUCAUCAUUUUGGCUCCUUCGUCAUACUUGUGUUACGUCUUUUAUACAUUAAAAUAUGGUGCACAAAAAAUUGAUCACGUGAAAUAUGGUGCAAAAUACAAUUUUCACCAUAUAUGAUUUUCGGUACAGUAACUUAAAUCAUAUACUACUAAGCAGAAGCGCGAUAAUGUAAUCAUGAACCUCAUACUUUGUGGAUACAUUUUUUUAAACUGAAA
Long non-coding RNA from Papaver somniferum (opium poppy), 499 nucleotides. RefSeq lists it as uncharacterized. The record is from RefSeq and is a predicted model, not a curated record. The transcript has 2 exons. Lineage: Eukaryota; Viridiplantae; Streptophyta; Magnoliopsida; Ranunculales; Papaveraceae.